Non-coding RNA from Schistosoma mansoni, 46 nucleotides. Lineage: Eukaryota; Metazoa; Platyhelminthes; Trematoda; Strigeidida; Schistosomatidae. The record is from Rfam.
GCACUGCUGAGGAGUCCCAUAAUAGGACGAAAAGACCGUCCAGUGC